Panicum virgatum (switchgrass) is the source of this 264-nucleotide long non-coding RNA. RefSeq lists it as uncharacterized. The transcript has 3 exons. NCBI's taxonomy places the organism in Eukaryota, Viridiplantae, Streptophyta, Magnoliopsida, Poales, Poaceae. The record is from RefSeq and is a predicted model, not a curated record.
GAAAGGCAACGAAAGGAACAAGUCGAAGUGGCCAUCGCAACAAAGUUUGCAGCUCUUCCAUGGAGAUUUGGCCGUGGAAGUGUCAUCUGUGCACUGGAGGCCUUAUUGGAUCGCCUUGGCGUCUCUUCGGUUGAGCUCUACCAACUUCAUUGGCCAGGGAUAUGGGGCAAUGAAGGUUACCUGGAUGGCCUUGGAGAUGCUGUUGAGCAAGGUCUUGUGAAAGCUGUUGGAGUCUCGAACUACAGCGGUUGUUGUCUGACUUUG